GCUAAUAAUUAUUUUACUUAAUGAUCAUAUUAUGUAGCAUGUAUUCAAGCCCAUCAAGUUUGUUUAUCUAGGUGGUGACAAUAGGCCAAAGACCACGGAGACCCCUGAACACGAAACUUUAGUUGUGUCAGUUAGUAGGCUUUGGUUUUGGUGGGUUUGAAAGUGCUCAAUCUGUACUUGAAGCUGUGUCAAUUUUAACUGCAUUUAUAGUUGUUCAUGAAUGUGGUCAUGAAUUAGAAUUAGUUGAGACAACAUAUGCAGGCCGAGAGGUUGGAUAAGUGGCCAAAAUUUGCUCGCUUUAAAGGUUCAUCUUAAAGUAUUGGAUAACAUGGGGUGGCUUUAAGGUAUCCAGUAGAAUUUGUACUCAGUGCCUUCUAAUAACAGUUGAAGCAUUUGCAGCUCCUAUCUACUCCAUUGAAAUUCACUUGCUCCGUGUAGAGUCAAUUAUGGUUGGGGAAAAGAUAGCAACAUAAACAUCUACAGUUCAGAGUUCAGACUACUCUGAUCUUUACUGCUACGAUCAUGGGGAGUCUCUGAAGCUUUGCAUCAGCUAAAUAUUUGAAAUUAUUGGCAUUGGGAGUGGUUAAAUGAGACCAUUCUCAGUUGAGUUCAAGGGGUUACUAUCCUUAUUAUAUUUCAGACUGAAUUGUAUAAUGUGCAGCAAAAAUCUGAUCUAGAAGCUUUAAGAAAAUGCGUACGUGUUGGUUUGUAAGCUUUCAUCAUUCAGUAUCUAUUCUAUAUCCUGAAUAUAUUGUUUUAAAAAUUUUUGGUUGAAAUGGAAAGCCUUCAGUUGGAGCUGAUUUAAUCAACGGAAUUGUUGUAAUAUCUUAACUUACAAUGUUCAGUUUUAAUUUAUAAAAUGUUAUCUGGACAACUCA
Erigeron canadensis is the source of this 878-nucleotide long non-coding RNA. RefSeq lists it as uncharacterized. NCBI's taxonomy places the organism in Eukaryota, Viridiplantae, Streptophyta, Magnoliopsida, Asterales, Asteraceae. The transcript is spliced from 4 exons. The record is from RefSeq and is a predicted model, not a curated record.